UACAGAGGGUGGGAGCGUUAAUCGGAAUUACUGGGCGUAAAGCGUGCGUAGACGGUUAUGUAAGUCAGGUGUGAAAGCCCCGGGCUCAACCUGGGAAUUGCAUUUGAGACUGCAUAGCUAGGGUGCGGAAGAGGGAAGCGGAAUUUCCGGUGUAGCGGUGAAAUGCGUAGAUAUCGGAAGGAACAUCAGUGGCGAAAGCGGCUUCCUGGUCCAGCACCGACGUUCAGGCACGAAAGCGUGGGGAGCAAACAGG
Molecule: ribosomal RNA, 253 nt
Filed under: uncultured bacterium
Lineage: Bacteria
Description: partial 16S ribosomal RNA
Rfam family: Bacterial small subunit ribosomal RNA
Source: RNAcentral